UCAUCUCUGUUUGUGUGUUAUUUUCAGCACCAUAAGCUUUUUGACAUAUUUAUUGCACAAAUCUAAAUAAUCUUCUUUAUAUAUCAAGGGACAUAUUAUAUUUAAUAUAUUGUCUCCAUUUACCCUUUGUUCAAAACUUGAGUAGUUGGAGGGGUUGCAUUUAUAUAUUUGAACAGUUGUGAUUGAGUUAGUUGACUGCAACAUUUGGUGAGGAGUGUCAUAAUUGGUGAUUCAUGAUUUUUGUGUAAACUUCACAUGCUACUUUAAAAUCUGUAAAAAAGCUGUUUUAAAACAUUAUUGUAUGUUUAAUUUGUGAAAGUAAUUCAUAUACCUAAUGAUAAAUGAUAUCUAUAUUCAGACAGUCUAAAUAUCAUAUCUGUGUUUUAAUCUAUUUAUUCUUUAAAAAUAGGUAAGAAGAAUAAUGGAAGGCAAUCAUCGGAUGGGAAUGGUUAUCACUGAUUCUUCAACAGGUUCCUUAGCCGAGUAUGGCUGUGAAGUGGAAAUCACUGAGUGUGAGCCACUUCCAGAUGGUCGUUUCUAUAUAGAGGUGAAGAUAUAUCAUUUUUCUUCUUAUAUCAUUUUCCUUAU
Arachis ipaensis is the source of this 588-nucleotide non-coding RNA. NCBI's taxonomy places the organism in Eukaryota, Viridiplantae, Streptophyta, Magnoliopsida, Fabales, Fabaceae. The record is from RefSeq and is a predicted model, not a curated record.